Molecule: small nuclear RNA, 122 nt
Organism: Jaculus jaculus (lesser Egyptian jerboa)
Lineage: Eukaryota; Metazoa; Chordata; Mammalia; Rodentia; Dipodidae
Source: Ensembl
GUACUAGUUUUGGCAGUACAUAUACUAAAAUUGGAAUAAUACAGAGAAGAUUGGUAUAGCACUUGUGCAAGGAUGACAUGCAAAAGUUCAAGAAGAAAGGUGCUAAGCAGCAGCAAAUCUGU